This 229-nucleotide ribosomal RNA is filed under the name uncultured bacterium. RNAcentral describes it as "partial 16S ribosomal RNA". It matches the Rfam family "Bacterial small subunit ribosomal RNA", at positions 568 to 796 of the family's 1533-position model. The record is from RNAcentral.
UGCGUAGGCGGAAUAUUAAGUCAGUGGUGAAAUCCUGCGGCUCAACCGUAGAACUACCAUUGAUACUGAUAUUCUUGAAUGUAGUUGAGGUAGGCGGAAUGUGUAAUGUAGCGGUGAAAUGCUUAGAUAUUACACAGAACACCGAUUGCGAAGGCAGCUUACUAAACUAUGAUUGACGCUGAGGCACGAAAGCGUGGGGAGCGAACAGGAUUAGAUACCCUGGUAGUCC